RNAcentral lists this ribosomal RNA (482 nucleotides) under uncultured bacterium. Its description in RNAcentral is "partial 16S ribosomal RNA". It matches the Rfam family "Bacterial small subunit ribosomal RNA", at positions 30 to 507 of the family's 1533-position model. The record is from RNAcentral.
AUUGAACGCUGGCGGCAGGCCUAACACAUGCAAGUCGAGCGGAUGAAGGGAGCUUGCUCCUGGAUUCAGCGGCGGACGGGUGAGUAAUGCCUAGGAAUCUGCCUGGUAGUGGGGGAUAACGUCCGGAAACGGGCGCUAAUACCGCAUACGUCCUGAGGGAGAAAGUGGGGGAUCUUCGGACCUCACGCUAUCAGAUGAGCCUAGGUCGGAUUAGCUAGUUGGUGGUAAAGGCCUACCAAGGCGACGAUCCGUAACUGGUCUGAGAGGAUGAUCAGUCACACUGGAACUGAGACACGGUCCAGACUCCUACGGGAGGCAGCAGUGGGGAAUAUUGGACAAUGGGCGAAAGCCUGAUCCAGCCAUGCCGCGUGUGUGAAGAAGGUCUUCGGAUUGUAAAGCACUUUAAGUUGGGAGGAAGGGCAGUAAGUUAAUACCUUGCUGUUUUGACGUUACCAACAGAAUAAGCACCGGCUAACUUCGUG